This 446-nucleotide ribosomal RNA is filed under the name uncultured bacterium. RNAcentral's name for it is "bacterial SSU rRNA". It matches the Rfam family "Bacterial small subunit ribosomal RNA", at positions 329 to 792 of the family's 1533-position model. The record is from RNAcentral.
GACCAGACUCCUACGGGAGGCAGCAGUGGGGAAUAUUGCACAAUGGGGGAAACCCUGAUGCAGCGACGCCGCGUGAGUGAAGAAGUAUUUCGGUAUGUAAAGCUCUAUCAGCAGGGAAGAUAAUGACGGUACCUGACUAAGAAGCCCCGGCUAACUACGUGCCAGCAGCCGCGGUAAUACGUAGGGGGCAAGCGUUAUCCGGAUUUACUGGGUGUAAAGGGUGCGCAGGUGGCAGGGCAAGUCAGAUGUGAAAGCCCGGGGCUUAACCCCGGAACGGCUUUGGAAACUGAGCAGCUAGAGUGCUGGAGAGGUAAGCGGAAUUCCUAGUGUAGCGGUGAAAUGCGUAGAUAUUAGGAGGAACACCAGUGGCGAAGGCGGCUUACUGGACUGUAACUGACGUUGAGGCUCGAAAGCGUGGGGAGCAAACAGGAUCAGAUACCCCCGUA